This 825-nucleotide ribosomal RNA is filed under the name uncultured bacterium. RNAcentral's name for it is "bacterial SSU rRNA". It matches the Rfam family "Bacterial small subunit ribosomal RNA", at positions 67 to 870 of the family's 1533-position model. The record is from RNAcentral.
CGAAAGUUCCCUUCGGGGGGCGAGUAGAGUGGCGCACGGGUGAGUAACACGUAGGUAAUCUACCUUUGGGUGGGGAAUAACAGCCGGAAACGGCUGCUAAUACCGCAUAAUGCAGCGGCUCGACAUCGAGACAGUUGUUAAAGCGGGGGAUCGCAAGACCUCGCGCCUAAAGAGGAGCCUGCGGCGGAUUAGCUUGUUGGUGAGGUAAUGGCUCACCAAGGCAUCGAUCCGUAGCCGGCCUGAGAGGGCGGUCGGCCACACUGACACUGACAUACGGGUCAGACUCCUACGGGAGGCAGCAGUCGGGAAUUUUGGGCAAUGGGCGCAAGCCUGACCCAGCAACGCCGCGUGAAGGAUGAAAUCCCUCGGGAUGUAAACUUCGCAAGAACAGGAAGAAUAAGUGGGGGACAAUACCCCCCAUGAUGACGGUACUGUUUGUAAGCUCCGGCUAACUCCGUGCCAGCAGCCGCGGUAAUACGGGGGGAGCAAGCGUUAUUCGGAUUUACUGGGCGUAAAGGGCGCGUAGGCGGUCGUGACAAGUCACUUGUGAAAUCUCCGGGCUUAACUCGGAAAGGUCAAGUGAUACUGUCGGACUAGAGUGCAGAAGGGGCAACUGGAAUUCUCGGUGUAGCGGUGAAAUGCGUAGAUAUCGAGAGGAACACCUGCGGCGAAGGCGGGUUGCUGGGCUGACACUGACGCUGAGGCGCGAAAGCCAGGGGAGCGAACGGGAUUAGAUACCCCGGUAGUCCUGGCCUUAAACGAUGAAUGCUUGGUGUCUCGGGUUACAUAGUCCCGGGGUGCCGUCGCUAACGCUUUUAGCAUUCC